ACUCUCAGCUAUGCAAGCUGUCCAAAACCAGAGAAAAUGCAUUCACCAUCAUUCAUUCAAUUGCUGUCUUGCCAGAAACUUGCUAACAUCAAAGUUUGUAGUGCCCUAUGUACUGUAACUUCCCCACCCUUCCUUCAGAGUACAGGCACUGUACUUCCCACCUCCAGGACUCAAGUCCCAACUAUCUGGUUUCCCCUGAAUCCCUCCCUUCAUGUCACUUUGCUCACACUCUAGCAGCACGUCGAGCUUUUAAAAACCACUUGCCUGUUGGAUGUUCAAGCCUCUACCACUCAAAACUUCCUUUACCCCCUCUCUCCAACCUGUCGUAAGACGACCCCUACCUCUCCAGAUCAUCCUAUUUUGCUCACAUUAUUAUUAUUAUUAUUAUUAUUAUUAUUAUUAUUAUUAUUAUUAUUAUUAUUAUUAUACGAGGAAUAUUGAAGGCAGUAUAUCAAUAAUUUUCUUUUUAUCAGUGAUGGAGGUAGAAGGGCAAAGGUGCGAUCACGCUUACUUCCUAAUGAAUAAGUGCAUUUGGUGUUGGUGUAAAGAUGGUCACCUCACCUGCAACCACGACACCUGUGUUGCAUCCCUCCAGCAGGUACCAGCCACCAAACGUACACCUACUGACAACUCCUGUACCUAGCAACUGACUACUCACAUCCCCCACACUCUCUGAUCAUCAACUCUCCUGGACUGGAACUCCCACCCGGAGAAAGACGUAGUGGAAGCUGACUCUGUGCUGAGGCACUGCUGAGAUGUUAUCUUACAGUCGACAGUCUCAGAGAUGCUUAACACUCUUGUCUUCAAGCAGGAAAACAAGCAAGCAAUUUGCCGAACAGAUUUCUAAUGGGUAGAGGUUAAUCAAGUCAGAAAGAAGUACGUCUCUCUAUCUCUCUCUCAAACACUAGCAUUUGGAGAUGUCACCUACAUUACUACGGUAAUGUGGCUUCCUAAUCUUAACCAGCCAGUCAUAAAUCCACUCAAGGAACUCCAUCAACAUUAUUCAUAUGAGUAUAUCCACAAAACAUCCACUUCCAGCUGGUGAGACUCGAACCCGCGGCAAGGAUGUUGUCACUGUUCUUCCUGAAGUAAGGUAGCCAAGAGCACAUUAAGACAUGCAUGCUUACAAUCAUUUAAAUGUAUUAACGAUUAAACUGAAAAUAAUGA
Cherax quadricarinatus is the source of this 1167-nucleotide non-coding RNA. The record is from RefSeq and is a predicted model, not a curated record. NCBI's taxonomy places the organism in Eukaryota, Metazoa, Arthropoda, Malacostraca, Decapoda, Parastacidae.